Molecule: non-coding RNA, 813 nt
Organism: Pimephales promelas (fathead minnow)
Lineage: Eukaryota; Metazoa; Chordata; Actinopteri; Cypriniformes; Leuciscidae
Source: RefSeq, a predicted model, not a curated record
UGUAAAUAAUGAUUUUAACAGUGUAUAUUUGUUUAUUUUUAGGAUCCUCCCGUGCUUCCAGUUGGCCAGUUCAGUGAGAAAUUUGUCCACUUCAUUACUCAGUGUAUGAGGAAGCAACCCAAAGAAAGACCUGCUCCAAACAACCUUAUGGAUCACCCCUUUAUCGUGCAAUAUAAUGACGGCAACACCGAGGUCGUGUCCAUGUGGGUGUGCCGCAGCCUAGAGGACCGCAAAGCCCAGCAGGCACAGAUACUCAUGUGAACAACAGUGGCACAGGAUGGAACUAUGGGAGAUGGUGUUCACAUUUCCUUACUUUAUUCUUCCACUGAACCCAGAAAAGCAGCAGCUGAACUUGCAGCUCUUCCUCCCAUGCGUGAUUUUAAUGAUGCACGGUGAGACAACUGCUUCGAGUCUAAUGCAGAUUAUUUGUCCUGCACAUGAGGAUUAUAACCGUACGUAUUGGUUUGCAUUGAUGCAAAUCUUUAACUUUGUUCUUCUGCAGUGGGUUUCUUUUCACUUUUUACUGCAGAUUCCAAAGUAAAUGUUUUCACUUAAGAUCCUUGCGGGGGGCUGUUGCUCGCUCCACUCGAAUCGAGUAAAAAAUGGUGUCUCUGUCUGUACUUAAAGCCACAAUCUGGUUUUGCCAAAACAUUGUGGGCAUGUCAUAAAUCAUCUCGAGAUCAGUGAAACAUUACAGUUUUCAAAUAUAUGGGGGUGUGUCAAGCAUCGCUGCAGUGCAAGUCAUGCUGCUGUUGUUUUAAAAGCCCCUUUGUUGAGUUUCACAAAUGGCCUGCCACUUGUGGCGAUACCCUA